Molecule: non-coding RNA, 110 nt
Organism: Triticum urartu
Lineage: Eukaryota; Viridiplantae; Streptophyta; Magnoliopsida; Poales; Poaceae
Source: Rfam
GUUCUACUCCCUCCGUUCGGAAUUACUUGUCGCAGAAAUGGAUGUAUCUAGAACUACGUCUAGAUACAUCCAUUUCUGCGACAAGUAAUUCCGAACGGAGGGAGUAUUAA